GACGAACGCUGGCGGCGUGCUUAACACAUGCAAGUCGAACGGAAAGGCCCUGCUUUUGUGGGGUGCUCGAGUGGCGAACGGGUGAGUAACACGUUAGUAACCUGCCCUUGACUUUGGGAUAACUUCAGGAAACUGUGGCUAAUACCGGAUAGGAGCUCCUGCUGCAUGGUGGGGGUUGGAAAGUUUCGGCGGUUGGGGAUGGACUCGCGGCUUAUCAGCUUGUUGGUGGGGUAGUGGCUUACCAAGGCUUUGACGGGUAGCCGGCCUGAGAGGGUGACCGGCCACAUUGGGACUGAGAUACGGCCCAGACGCCUACGGGAGGCAACAGUGGGGAAUAUUGCACAAUGGGCGGAAGACUGAUGCAGCAACGCCGCGUGCGGGAUGACGGCCUUCGGGUUGUAAACCGCUUUCGCCUGUGACGAAGCGUGAGUGACGGUAAUGGGUAAAGAAGCACCGGCUAACUACGU
Molecule: ribosomal RNA, 467 nt
Filed under: uncultured bacterium
Lineage: Bacteria
Description: partial 16S ribosomal RNA
Rfam family: Bacterial small subunit ribosomal RNA
Source: RNAcentral